UCGGAGCAUGUGGAUAUGUAGACAUUUUUUUCCCACAUGAACCCAGAAUCACCAAUAUGGCUUGUGCUUGAAAUUUAACCCAAUGUUUAUGCUUAGUGUCCAUAUAUACACAUGAAGCACUGAGUUUCAGAUGACACUCAAGACUGUGGAGGGUCCACUGCAUCCCCUCCAACCAAGGACACAAGGUAGUUUUAUGGAUGACAGUCAGUGAAGAACUAAACUCCAACGAGCCACGUGUCCUAGAUCCAAUCUCCUAGCAAAGCUCUGGUUUCACAUCAGUGCCUGUCAUCAUGCAAAUUUAUUCUCAAUGGGAUUACUCGGAACUAUGCUGGUACUUGUUCCUGCUUGUGUAUCCAAGCUUGUCCCUCCCUGGGCUUUGCCAGCUUAGUUUCCCGGGAAAGAAGGAGCUGGAGACAUUGCAACAGACCCUGGACAAGGGAAAAAUGUUCUAAAGUUGGCCCUUGAAAAGCAUUUCUACCUGGAUCUUCAGCAUUAGUCAUCUGAGGAUAAGACACCUUCAUAUACUGGAGGUGCUAAUCUCUUCCCUCCAUGUAAUCUGGUAUAAAAGUAAAACAAAAAAGAUAAAACACUAUCCUUUACCCAAUUAAAAAAUAAAAAGUAGUCAAAUAAAAAAAAAGGCCCA
This 643-nucleotide long non-coding RNA is filed under the name Junco hyemalis (dark-eyed junco). RNAcentral's name for it is "lncRNA (ENSJHYG00000014095.1)". Lineage: Eukaryota; Metazoa; Chordata; Aves; Passeriformes; Passerellidae. The record is from RNAcentral.